Molecule: ribosomal RNA, 1342 nt
Filed under: uncultured bacterium
Lineage: Bacteria
Description: 16S ribosomal RNA
Rfam family: Bacterial small subunit ribosomal RNA
Source: RNAcentral
GACGAACGCUUGCGGCGUGCUUAACACAUGCAAGUCGAACGGAAAGGCCCUGCUUUUGUGGGGUGCUCGAGUGGCGAACGGGUGAGUAACACGUGAGUAACCUGCCCUUGACUUUGGGAUAACUUCAGGAAACUGGGGCUAAUACCGGAUAGGAGCUCCUGCUGCAUGGUGGGGGUUGGAAAGUUUCGGCGGUUGGGGAUGGACUCGCGGCUUAUCAGCUUGUUGGUGGGGUAGUGGCUUACCAAGGCUUUGACGGGUAGCCGGCCUGAGAGGGUGACCGGCCACAUUGGGACUGAGAUACGGCCCAGACUCCUACGGGAGGCAGCAGUGGGGAAUAUUGCACAAUGGGCGGAAGCCUGAUGCAGCAACGCCGCGUGCGGGAUGACGGCCUUCGGGUUGUAAACCGCUUUCGCCUGUGACGAAGCGUGAGUGACGGUAAUGGGUAAAGAAGCACCGGCUAACUACGUGCCAGCAGCCGCGGUGAUACGUAGGGUGCGAGCGUUGUCCGGAUUUAUUGGGCGUAAGGGCUCGUAGGUGGUUGAUCGCGUCGGAAGUGUAAUCUUGGGGCUUAACCCUGAGCGUGCUUUCGAUACGGGUUGACUUGAGGAAUUUAGGGGAGAAUGGAAUUCCUGGUGGAGCGGUGGAAUGCGCAGAUAUCAGGAGGAACACCAGUGGCGAAGGCGGUUCUCUGGGCCUUUCCUGACGCUGAGGAGCGAAAGCGUGGGGAGCGAACAGGCUUAGAUACCCUGGUAGUCCACGCUGUAAACGGUGGGUACUAGGUGUGGGGUCCAUUCCACGGGUUCCGUGCCGUAGCUAACGCUUUAAGUACCCCGCCUGGGGAGUACGGCCGCAAGGCUAAAACUCAAAGGAAUUGACGGGGCCCCGCACAAGCGGCGGAGCAUGCGGAUUAAUUCGAUGCAACGCGUAGAACCUUACCUGGGUUUGACAUGGAUCGGGAGUGCUCAGAGAUGGGUGUGCCUCUUUUGGGGUCGGUUCACAGGUGGUGCAUGGCUGUCGUCAGCUCGUGUCGUGAGAUGUUGGGUUAAGUCCCGCAACGAGCGCAACCCUUGUUCACUGUUGCCAGCACGUUAUGGUGGGGACUCAGUGGAGACCGCCGGGGUCAACUCGGAGGAAGGUGGGGAUGACGUCAAGUCAUCAUGCCCCUUAUGUCCAGGGCUUCACGCAUGCUACAAUGGCUGGUACAGAGAGUGGCGAGCCUGUGAGGGUGAGCGAAUCUCGGAAAGCCGGUCUCAGUUCGGAUUGGGGUCUGCAACUCGACCUCAUGAAGUCGGAGUCGCUAGUAAUCGCAGAUCAGCAACGCUGCGGUGAAUACGUUCCCGGG